This 468-nucleotide ribosomal RNA is filed under the name uncultured bacterium. Its description in RNAcentral is "partial 16S ribosomal RNA". It matches the Rfam family "Bacterial small subunit ribosomal RNA", at positions 28 to 507 of the family's 1533-position model. The record is from RNAcentral.
GAUGAACGCUGGCGGCGUGCUUAACACAUGCAAGUCGAACGGAAAGGCCCUGCUUUUGUGGGGCGCUUGAGUGGCGAACGGGUGAGUAACACGCGAGUAACCUGCCCUUGAAUUUGGGAUAACUUUAGGAAACUGGGGCUAAUACCGGAUAGGAGCUCCUGCUGCAUGGUGGUGGUUGGAAAGUUACGGCGGUUUUGGAUGGACGCGCGGCUUACCAGCUUGUUUGUGGGGUAGUUGCUUUACCAGGCUUUGAAGGGUAGCCGGCCUGAGAAGGUGACCGGCGACAUUGGGCCUGAGGUACGGCGCAGACUGGUACGGGAGGCAGCAGGGGGAAAUAUUGCACAAUGGGCGGAAGCCUGAUGCAGCAACGCCGCGUGCGGGAUAACGGCCUUCGGGUGGUAAACCUCUUUGUCCUGUGACGAGGCGUGAGUGACGGUAAUGAGUAAGGAAGCACCGGCUAACUACGUG